This is a long non-coding RNA of Podarcis raffonei (Aeolian wall lizard), 366 nucleotides long. RefSeq lists it as uncharacterized. The record is from RefSeq and is a predicted model, not a curated record. Lineage: Eukaryota; Metazoa; Chordata; Lepidosauria; Squamata; Lacertidae. The transcript is spliced from 2 exons.
AAGCAGCUGUAAAUAAUGGAAUAGCCGGGAGUGUGGGGGAGAGAUGCUGAUUCUGUGCUACAGAACUGAAGUAACGCAAAUUGCAAUCUAAAAGGAGGACCCCUUAAGACCAUUAAGUCCAGGGUCUAAACUCAAUUAGCUGCACUACUGGUCUUUAUCAUUCCACAUUCAGAAGCAGACUGGAGUGGCAGUUGACUCUUCCUUCAACAAUGGCAAUGGGCUGGCAUCCUGGACUUCACCUUAUGCAGCAGAAAACAUAGGCUGCUACACCCACACCAAUGAGGAGGAGGAAGAUAAUCGGGAGAACCGCCUUCAGAACUCUGCCCUGUGUUGAUGCCAGACUGUCUUCUUGCUCUACUAAUGGGG